GGCCCUGUAGCUUAGUUUGGCCAAAAGCGCCUGCCUGUCGAGCAGGAGAACACGGGUUCAAAUCCCGUUAGGGUCGC
Molecule: transfer RNA, 77 nt
Filed under: Mycobacterium phage Phabba
Lineage: Duplodnaviria; Heunggongvirae; Uroviricota; Caudoviricetes
Description: tRNA-Asp
Rfam family: tRNA
About the family: Transfer RNA (tRNA) molecules are approximately 80 nucleotides in length. Their secondary structure includes four short double-helical elements and three loops (D, anti-codon, and T loops).
Source: RNAcentral